GGCUUCAGCAAUACAUGAACCUAGAACUUCCAGAUGUACAAGCUGGAUUUAGAAAUAGGAGAGGAACCAAAUAUCAUAUUGUCAACAUCCAUCGGAUCAUAAAAAAAACAAUGGGAUUCCAGAAAUACAUCUAAUUCUGCUUCAUUGACUAUGUUAAAGUCUUUGACUGUAUGGAUAGAAAAACAAACUGUGGAGAAUUCUUAAAGAGGUGGGAAUACCAGAUCCC
This is a long non-coding RNA of Cervus elaphus (red deer), 226 nucleotides long. RefSeq lists it as uncharacterized. The record is from RefSeq and is a predicted model, not a curated record. The transcript has 3 exons. NCBI's taxonomy places the organism in Eukaryota, Metazoa, Chordata, Mammalia, Artiodactyla, Cervidae.